ACGGGAGGCAGCAGUGGGGAAUAUUGGACAAUGGGGGAAACCCUGAUCCAGCGACGCCGCGUGAGUGAAGAAGUAUUUCGGUAUGUAAAGCUCUAUCAGCAAGGAAGAAAAUGACGGUACUUGACUAAGAAGCUCCGGCUAAAUACGUGCCAGCAGCCGCGGUAAUACGUAUGGAGCAAGCGUUAUCCGGAUUUACUGGGUGUAAAGGGUGCGUAGGUGGCAUGGCAAGUCUGAAGUGAAAUGCGGGGGCUCAACCCCUGAACUGCUUUGGAAACUGUCAAGCUUGGGUACAGGAGAGGAAAGCGGAAUUCCUAGUGUAGCGGUGAAAUGCGUAGAUAUUAGGAGGAACACCAGUGGCGAAGGCGGCUUUCUGGACUGUAACUGACACUGAGGCACGAAAGCGUGGGGAGCAAACAGGAUUAGAUACCCUGGUA
This 434-nucleotide ribosomal RNA is filed under the name uncultured Lachnospiraceae bacterium. Its description in RNAcentral is "partial 16S ribosomal RNA". It matches the Rfam family "Bacterial small subunit ribosomal RNA", at positions 341 to 792 of the family's 1533-position model. The record is from RNAcentral. Lineage: Bacteria; Bacillati; Bacillota; Clostridia; Lachnospirales; Lachnospiraceae.